GUAGGGAAUAUUGGGCAAUGGAUGCAAGUCUGACCCAGCCAUCCCGCGUGCCGGAAGAAGGCCCUCAGGGUUGUAAACGGCUUUUGACGGGGAAGAAUCGACAGGAUGCGUCCUGUUUUGACGGUAGCCGUUGAAUAAGCACCGGCUAACUCCGUGCCAGCAGCCGCGGUAAUACGGAGGGUGCGAGCGUUGUCCGGAUUUAUUGGGUUUAAAGGGUGCGUAGGCUGGAAGGUCAGUCAGCGGUGAAAAGCUGUCGCUUAACGAUAGUCUUGCCGUAGAUACUUCCUUUCUUGGAUGAGGAGGAGGCCACUGGAACGGAUGGUGUAGCGGUGAAAUGCAUAGAUAUCAUCCAGAACACCGAUUGCGAAGGCAGGUGGCUGUACCUUAAUCGACGCUGAUGCACGAAAGCAUGGGGAGCAAACAGGAUUAGAAACCCGGGUAGUCC
Molecule: ribosomal RNA, 445 nt
Filed under: uncultured bacterium
Lineage: Bacteria
Description: partial 16S ribosomal RNA
Rfam family: Bacterial small subunit ribosomal RNA
Source: RNAcentral